UGUCGAUCGUUGCUGCUUUUUCCAACUGAACAUGCAAGUUAGGGGAUGAUUGUGAAGUGGACCGAGAUUGCGAGACCGGACUUUAAUCUGCUGGUCAGUUUAUUAUUGAUCCCCGCUUUAAUUUUUAUAUACAUUUGAUUAUUAGACCAGGGGUGUGGUUUACCGCCUUCCGCCACCUCAGCAUCAAUGGUGCCCCUCCCUACAUCCGUAUAAGAAUUAGGCAAAAGACUACGGUGUUCGAGAUGUAUAAUAUUUUGGCCAAUUUUAUCAUUCUUAGGGCAUAGAAGCUCUUGUUGUCAAGGUUAUUAAUUAGAACCUUCCUUGAAAUCAUGAGUCUGGUGGAUUGUAAACUAUAUUCACAACAAUGCUUAGGUAAAAGAAAAGAGGAAAAGAUAAAAUAAGCUGAAAGAUUAUGCAUAUUGAGCACCAUGGUUAUUGCCUAGUUCAUAGAGGAAUGUUGGGUUUAGGGUGGCGGAUAGGCCACCCUUUUUUUUGUUGUAAUAUAUGACGAACCCAUUGCAGUGUAUUACAAUUAAUAACAUAUUUCAAUUAAACA
Helianthus annuus (common sunflower) is the source of this 556-nucleotide long non-coding RNA. RefSeq lists it as uncharacterized. The record is from RefSeq and is a predicted model, not a curated record. NCBI's taxonomy places the organism in Eukaryota, Viridiplantae, Streptophyta, Magnoliopsida, Asterales, Asteraceae. The transcript has 2 exons.